This 610-nucleotide ribosomal RNA is filed under the name Fusarium sp. H007. RNAcentral's name for it is "eukaryotic LSU rRNA". The stretch from base 272 to 425 matches the Rfam family "5.8S ribosomal RNA". Lineage: Eukaryota; Fungi; Ascomycota; Sordariomycetes; Hypocreales; Nectriaceae. The record is from RNAcentral.
AAAAACAAUUGGCCCACCCCUCUCCCCCCCAAACAAACAAACAUUUUUAAACUUUUUGGUUUGGGUAGAGUAAGUUAAAGUCGUAACAACGUCUCCGUUGGUGAACCAGCGGAGGGAUCAUUACCGAGUUUACAACUCCCAAACCCCUGUGAACAUACCAAUUGUUGCCUCGGCGGAUCAGCCCGCUCCCGGUAAAACGGGACGGCCCGCCAGAGGACCCCUAAACUCUGUUUCUAUAUGUAACUUCUGAGUAAAACCAUAAAUAAAUCAAAACUUUCAACAACGGAUCUCUUGGUUCUGGCAUCGAUGAAGAACGCAGCAAAAUGCGAUAAGUAAUGUGAAUUGCAGAAUUCAGUGAAUCAUCGAAUCUUUGAACGCACAUUGCGCCCGCCAGUAUUCUGGCGGGCAUGCCUGUUCGAGCGUCAUUUCAACCCUCAAGCCCAGCUUGGUGUUGGGACUCGCGAGUCAAAUCGCGUUCCCCAAAUUGAUUGGCGGUCACGUCGAGCUUCCAUAGCGUAGUAGUAAAACCCUCGUUACUGGUAAUCGUCGCGGCCACGCCGUUAAACCCCAACUUCUGAAAUGUUCACCCCUCCGGAUCCCAGGCAGGUGC